This 429-nucleotide ribosomal RNA is filed under the name bacterium. RNAcentral describes it as "partial 16S ribosomal RNA". It matches the Rfam family "Bacterial small subunit ribosomal RNA", at positions 355 to 776 of the family's 1533-position model. The record is from RNAcentral.
UAGGGAAUCUUCGGCAAUGGGGGCAACCCUGACCGAGCAACGCCGCGUGAGUGAAGAAGGUUUUCGGAUCGUAAAGCUCUGUUGUAAGAGAAGAACGUGUGUGAGAGUGGAAAGUUCACACAGUGACGGUAACUGACCAGAAAGGGACGGCUAACUACGUGCCAGCAGCCGCGGUAAUACGUAGGUCCCGAGCGUUGUCCGGAUUUAUUGGGCGUAAAGCGAGCGCAGGCGGUUUAAUAAGUCUGAAGUUAAAGGCAGUGGCUUAACCAUUGUUCGCUUUGGAAACUGUUAAACUUGAGUGCAGAAGGGGAGAGUGGAAUUCCAUGUGUAGCGGUGAAAUGCGUAGAUAUAUGGAGGAACCCCGGUGGCGAAAGCGGCUCUCUGGUCUGUAACUGACGCUGAGGCUCGAAAGCGUGGGGAGCAAACAGG